Small nucleolar RNA from Cornus florida, 76 nucleotides. RefSeq annotates it as small nucleolar RNA snoR122. NCBI's taxonomy places the organism in Eukaryota, Viridiplantae, Streptophyta, Magnoliopsida, Cornales, Cornaceae. The transcript has a single exon. The record is from RefSeq and is a predicted model, not a curated record.
UGCCUAUGAUGUAUUUAUCUGCACGUAUUAUCAGACAUACUAAUGAUGAUAUGUGAUUGUCACUACCUCUGAGGCA